CGCGUAGGAAUCUACCUAGUAGUGGGGGAUAACUCGAGGAAACUCGAGCUAAUACCGCAUAAUCUCUACGGAGCAAAGCGGGGGAUCUUCGGACCUCGCGCUAUUAGAUGAGCCUGCGUCGGAUUAGCUUGUUGGUGGGGUAAAGGCCUACCAAGGCGACGAUCCGUAGCUGGUCUGAGAGGACGAUCAGCCACACUGGGACUGAGACACGGCCCAGACUCCUACGGGAGGCAGCAGUGGGGAAUAUUGGACAAUGGGCGAGAGCCUGAUCCAGCAAUGCCGCGUGUGUGAAGAAGGCCU
RNAcentral lists this ribosomal RNA (300 nucleotides) under uncultured Gammaproteobacteria bacterium. Its description in RNAcentral is "bacterial SSU rRNA". It matches the Rfam family "Bacterial small subunit ribosomal RNA", at positions 114 to 417 of the family's 1533-position model. Lineage: Bacteria; Pseudomonadati; Pseudomonadota; Gammaproteobacteria. The record is from RNAcentral.